AGAGUUUGAUCUGGCUCAGGAUGAACGCUAGCUACAGGCUUAACACAUGCAAGUCGAGGGGAAACGAUAUUGGAAGCUUGCUUCCGAUAGGCGUCGACCGGCGCACGGGUGAGUAACGCGUAUCCAACCUGCCCAUCACUUGGGGAUAACCUUGCGAAAGUAAGACUAAUACCCAAUGACGUCCAUAGAAGACAUCUGAAAUGGAUUAAAGAUUUAUCGGUGAUGGAUGGGGAUGCGUCUGAUUAGCUUGUUGGCGGGGUAACGGCCCACCAAGGCGACGAUCAGUAGGGGUUCUGAGAGGAAGGUCCCCCACAUUGGAACUGAGACACGGUCCAAACUCCUACGGGAGGCAGCAGUGAGGAAUAUUGGUCAAUGGGCGAGAGCCUGAACCAGCCAAGUAGCGUGCAGGAUGACGGCCCUAUGGGUUGUAAACUGCUUUUAUAAGGGAAUAAAGUGAGAGUCGUGACUCUUUUUGCAUGUACCUUAUGAAUAAGGACCGGCUAAUUCCGUGCCAGCAGCCGCGGUAAUACGGAAGGUCCGGGCGUUAUCCGGAUUUAUUGGGUUUAAAGGGAGCGUAGGCCGGAGAUUAAGCGUGUUGUGAAAUGUAGACGCUCAACGUCUGCACUGCAGCGCGAACUGGUUUCCUUGAGUACGCACAAAGUGGGCGGAAUUCGUGGUGUAGCGGUGAAAUGCUUAGAUAUCAUGAAGAACUCCGAUCGCGAAGGCAUAUGUCCGGAGUGCAACUGACGCUGAGGCUCGAAAGUGUGGGUAUCAAACAGGAUUAGAUACCCUGGUAGUCCACACAGUAGACGAUGAAUACUCGCGGUUGGUUCGUUAGAAUCAGCCGCCAAGCGAAAGCGUUAAGUAUUCCACCUGGGGAGUACGCCGGCAACGGUGAAACUCAAAGGAAUUGACGGGGGCCCGCACAAGCGGAGGAACAUGUGGUUUAAUUCGAUGAUACGCGAGGAACCUUACCCGGGCUUGAACUGCCAGUGACUCAUGCAGAGACGCAUGUUUCUUCGGACACUGGCGGAGGUGCUGCACGGUUGUCGUCAGCUCGUGCCGUGAGGUGUCGGCUUAAGUGCCAUAACGAGCGCAACCCUUCUCCCUGUUUGCCAUCGGGUUAAGCUGGGCACUCCAGGGACACUGCCAUCGUAAGAUGUGAGGAAGGUGGGGAUGACGUCAAAUCAGCACGGCCCUUACGUCCGGGGCUACACACGUGUUACAAUGGGCGGUACAGAAAGCAGCUACCCCGCGAGGGGAUGCCAAUCUCAAAAACCGUUCUCAGUUCGGACUGGAGUCUGCAACCCGACUCCAUGAAGCUGGAUUCGCUAGUAAUCAAGAAUCAGAAUGUCGCGGUGAAUACGUUCCCGG
RNAcentral lists this ribosomal RNA (1374 nucleotides) under uncultured bacterium. RNAcentral describes it as "bacterial SSU rRNA". It matches the Rfam family "Bacterial small subunit ribosomal RNA", at positions 8 to 1377 of the family's 1533-position model. The record is from RNAcentral.